Molecule: ribosomal RNA, 663 nt
Filed under: Triticum aestivum (bread wheat)
Lineage: Eukaryota; Viridiplantae; Streptophyta; Magnoliopsida; Poales; Poaceae
Description: partial small subunit ribosomal RNA
Source: RNAcentral
AUGGCGGGUGGCGAAGGAGACGUGAAGCUGCUGGGCCUGCGGCUGAGCCCGUUCGUGGCGCGCGUGCGCAUCGCGCUGGACACCAAGGGCGUGCGCUACGAGUACGUCGAGGAGGACCUCGCCGCCAAGAGCAGCCUCCUCCUCGCGUCCAACCCGGUGCACCGGAAGGUCCCCGUGCUCAUCCACGCCGGCAGGCCCGUCUGCGAGUCGCUCGUCAUCCUGCACUACGUCGACGAGGCCUGGCCCGGCGCCCGCGAGCGCGCCGCCGCGCGGUUCUGGGCCGCCUACGUCGACGGCGAGCUGUUCCCGGCCUGGGGCCGCGUCAUGAUGGCGGCGACGGAGGAGGAGCGCGCGGAGCGGGCCGGCGAGGCGGCCGGCAUGGUGGCGCGCCUGGAGGAGGCCUUCGCCGGGUGCUCGGACGGCGGCGACGCCGUGGGGUACCUCGACCUCGUGCUCGGGAGCAACCUGUUCUGGUUCGAGGCGCCGCGGAGGUUGCUCGGCGUGAGGCUGAUCGACAAGGGGAGGACUCCGCUGCUGGCCGCGUGGGCGGUGCGGUUCGGUGAAGCCGCGGCGGCGAACGGGAUGGUGACGGACGCGCUCGUUGACAUGGCGGUGGAGCACGCCAAGAAGCUCCGGGCUGCUGCCAUGGCUGCCGGCAAGUGA